Molecule: microRNA precursor, 129 nt
Filed under: Physcomitrium patens
Lineage: Eukaryota; Viridiplantae; Streptophyta; Bryopsida; Funariales; Funariaceae
Description: Physcomitrella patens miR2080 stem-loop (ppt-MIR2080)
Source: miRBase by way of RNAcentral
GCUGCGUGUUUGUUAAGUGAGAAAUUCCAUAUCAAUUCGCAGAUGCCGCUUCAGAACUGGUUUUACGUUCCAGUUCUGAAGCGGCAUCUGCGAAUUGAUAUGGAAUUUCUGGGACGUGUAGGGUUUAGC